Molecule: ribosomal RNA, 440 nt
Filed under: uncultured bacterium
Lineage: Bacteria
Description: partial 16S ribosomal RNA
Rfam family: Bacterial small subunit ribosomal RNA
Source: RNAcentral
CCUACGGGUGGCAGCAGUGGGGGAUAUUGCACAAUGGGGGAAACCCUGAUGCAGCGACGCCGCGUGGGUGAAGAAGCGCCUCGGCGCGUAAAGCCCUGUCAGCAGGGAAGAAAAUGACGGUAACUGAAGAAGAAGCCCCGGCUAACUACGUGCCAGCAGCCGCGGUAAUACGUAGGGGGCAAGCGUUAUCCGGAUUUACUGGGUGAAAAGGGUGCGCAGACGGUGAUGCAAGCCAGGAGUGAAAGCCCGGGGCCCAACCCCGGGACAGCUCUUGGAACUGCGUGGCUAGAGUGCAGGAGGGGCAGGUGGAAGUCCAUGUGUAGCGGUGAAAUGCGUAGAUAUCAGGAGGAACACCAGUGGCGAAGGCGGCCUGCUGGACUGCAACUGACGUUGAGGCCCGAAAGCGUGGGGAGCAAACAGGAUUAGAUACCCUUGUAGUC